UACUCCUUAUUGUUUUAAAAAUACUGAAGAAAUUAGGGAGUUCUUGGACAGUGUAAUGUCCACUGGAGCUGAGGUUUUGCUUAUCAUGAAUGAUAAAGAAUAAGUUUCAUUUUACUUUUAUUUUUAUGCCACAAGUGUAACUUUAACCUGCAUUUUGUACUAGCCAGUGUGAUUGAACUGUAGAAUUAUGAGAAAUGUUGUGUGAAUAUAAUUUUUCAUAGAAUUUAGGGCAUAUUGUCUUCUAAUAUAUCAAUGUGGACAUGAUGCAACUUGAAAGAUUUUCAUAAAGCACUUCUCUUUGUAGUAUUAUCAUAUUCCAAAAUGACUAAAUAUUGUGUUUAUGGUCUUCCUCCUUGCCAUCUUACAUAGAAUUGCAUGAGUAGACCCAGACUCUUGGUCGUCGACUUUAUACUGAAAACCUUCUCUGCAAGUCUUCCUUGUUAGGCUGUGUAUUUCAUUGAACCAUUUGAUGAAUGUAUCCAUGUUCCACACUUCAUUUGAUUACUGUAGCCAUUCACCAGUUACCACUGUGUGACUUUUUUGGCAAUGUUUUAGUGGAAUCUAGUAUUUCUUUGAACAGCAUAAUCAUUCAUGGACACAAUGAAGAAUUCAAUUUGCUGAGUGCAGUUUCUUUGAGGUCAAUGGCGGCAUUUCUUCCUAGUGCAUUGCAUCAGCUAUAAGCGUAAGAAAGAUAUGCUUCAUCAAAUAUAUGUGGAUUUAUCUAGUUUUUCAUGAUAGGAAAGUUCUCUGAGUUUUGUACUUUCUGCAUGGUAUUUGUAGUUAGGUUGUUUGUGCUUUUAAGCUCUCGCAUCCUUUUUUUUUUUUUUACCUAAUCUCUAUUUUCAACUUCAUCACUAUUCUGAUUUAUCUGGAUUUAAACACCAAGAAGAAUACUGUUACCAUUUUGGCCUUCCGUCUAAUAUAAUCUUUGGGAAGUAUAUAACAUUAUAUUCUUGGCUGCUUUUAUUCUACCGAACUUAAGUUCAAAGCUAAAUUUAAUAACUUUGUAAACUCGUUAUGAAAAUGACAUUUUAAUAGAAGAAUUGGUUUUGGAAGAUGAUAGAGCUUUCCGACAUGAAAAUCAGACCCAUUUAGCAUCAGAUCCAAACAAAGAAACUCUUUUAUGCAUUUAUGUGGUCUUUGAAUUCUCUAUGCUAUGAAAUACCUCAAAUUGUUAUAAGAUGUUGAAAACAUGAGGCAUUUCAUCCAUCCACUCUCAUAUCUUCUUAACAAUUCUCUUUACCUUUGUUGUGAUAUCCCGUAAAGUGAUAUUAUUAGGGAAAGAGUGGUUAUCUUGUUAUAUGUUAUUCUGUCUUGGAAUCUGCCUCAUACGUGAAGAGAUACCUGUCUCUUUCUUGCAUACGGUGAGCUUAUGCAAAACACUUCCGUUCAAAUUCUCUUUAAUCAUCUGUAUUUCAUGUAUUCGAGGAGUAAAUGGAAUUCUUAUGAGGCUGAAACUAUGAUCGUUUAUAUACAGUUUCAGUGUCACGUCCGUGUACUUGACUACUUAACUUUCUGUUAUGUAUCACUGUGGCACUUGGAGAAAUAAUCUACCUAGCGAUGUAUGUAAUGAAAUUAUAUUUGUUCAUACUAAUUAUAAAGUAUAACCAUCGCGAUACAGAGUGUUGGACUUUGCACCACGUGUGAACCAGUUAGUGCGUUCAUAGUGGGCUGAUUGAAUCUGGUGACCAUAUAUGAAGUCUUAUAGAAUGAAAUUUGAGUAGUCUCUCACAACUUUUAUCCCAAUUAGAAUGUUGUCCAAAAACCCCAAUAGUCCAGAAUUUUACACUACAUCGUGUCCCAUGUCGUUAAGUGAAGACUUAGUUUGUACUUUUGCUGUUUAUAACUAGUAGGACACCCUUCUUUUACAAGUCGGUUUUAAGAGUGAGUUUUAGCCCUUGGAUUGUUACAAAAUAUUGAUAAUCUUGCAGAGCAAAGAUUAAAUUUUAGCUUUUCUGAACCUAAUUAACAGGAGAAUGAUUUGAGGAUUUUCUGUCUAUGUAUUUUCAUAUCUUGUUGAAGUUUGGACUCGCAUGUAAUUACUCAUGAUUUUGUAAAGUAUUUGAUCAAUUCCUUAUUAUAAUUCAGGAGAAAGAUGCAUUUACUCGAGCAAAUUUGAAUGCCAUUGCUGAAAAACUGACCUUCGGUGACCCAAACAAGGCAACCUGGACUCCUUUGUCUGUGAUCUUUAAGCCUCAUCAUAAUUCUCUAACAGGAAAUUAUGAUAUUAAUGUAUUAAUUGCCGCUCUUGAAGAAAGAGGGAAAAGAGUAAUGUGGCAUGAUCGCCGAAAUGGGACAUCUUCAAUUGAUCUAGAUGGGUUGAGAAAUGAAUUGUUCGGUAUUAUAGUUAAUGUUCCAGUAAGAAGGUAUGCUGGCCUAUGGAAAAGUAGGCAUUGGGUUGCAUUGAGAAGGAUUGAAGGAGUCUGGUACAAUUUGGAUAGUGAUUUUCCUACUCCUUAUUGUUUUAAAAAUACUGAAGAAAUUAGGGAGUUCUUGGACAGUGUAAUGUCCACUGGAGCUGAGGUUUUGCUUAUCAUGAAUGAUAAAGAAUAAGUUUCAUUUUACUUUUAUUUUUAUGCCACAAGUGUAACUUUAACCUGCAUUUUGUACUAGCCAGUGUGAUUGAACUGUAGAAUUAUGAGAAAUGUUGUGUGAAUAUAAUUUUUCAUAGAAUUUAGGGCAUAUUGUCUUCUAAUAUAUCAAUGUGGACAUGAUGCAACUUGAAAGAUUUUC
Molecule: long non-coding RNA, 2733 nt
Filed under: Olea europaea (common olive)
Lineage: Eukaryota; Viridiplantae; Streptophyta; Magnoliopsida; Lamiales; Oleaceae
Description: long non-coding RNA (OEUR_LNC010446)
Source: RNAcentral